AGGUGUUUCAUAAAGCACGCACGGCCGCUCCAUGUGUAGUAUUUUUUGACGAGAUUGAUGCAGUAGCAAGCAAACGUGGUGGUAACGAUGGCGAUGUGUCUAAUGUCUCUGAACGUGUUUUAACACAACUUUUAACUGAACUGGAUGGUGUCGAAACAUUGAAUGACGUCACUUUAGUUGCAGCCACAAAUAGACCUGAUGUCAUCGAUAAAGCUCUCAUGCGUCCUGGUCGCAUUGACCGUAUUAUUUAUAUUCCACUACCUGAUGAAGAAACAAGAACUGAGAUAUUUAAUAUUCAGUUACGAAACACACCACUUGCUCCUGCCGUCAACAUUGAUGACAUCAUAGCUCAGACACAGGGGUAUUCUGGGGCUGAAAUUACAGCGAUAUGCCGUGAAGCUGCAUUAGCUGCUCUACAAGAAGACAUCAAUGCUAUACAUGUCAAACAUGAGCAUUUUGUUCAAGCUUUACAAACUGUUAAACCAAGAAUAUCUGCGGAUCUUGUUCAGUAUUAUAGCAAGUUUCAGGAGCAGUGUGGGAUACAUAGUUUAUAGACAAUACAAUAUGUGGGAGGCUGUUGUGGUGCACUAGACUUGCAUCUCUGCAUGAGAGAUUUUUAUUGCAAAAUAUGGACGGACGAUUGACAAGUGUAUCCCCAAAGCUCUCACCAGAAAGUAUUGGAACGAGACAUAGGCGUACGCAGUGAGAGAAAACAUCAGGGGGUGGGGUGGUGGGGGCGGGGGGAGUGAAAGAAAUUUGCCCGGAUGUUUUGAAUUUUUAUGAGUUUUAUGGGGAGGACAAACAUUUUGGGAGGGUUACAGUAAAUAUUUUUGCCACAUUGCAUAUUUCUUGCAUUUUCGACAAUGAUCUUACAUAUUUCUUGCUUUUCAAUUUUUCUGGGGGGAAACUGCGCGAGAUUGGAACGAGAUUGAAUUUCCCUUCUCCUGGUAUAUAUUUUAACACGUGACGGUUUGCGGGAUGUUGUUGCUAGAUGUGGUCCUUCGCUCGAAACGUCAAAAUUCGUUUGUAUUUUUCAGGUAGUUGAAUAUUUAUAGUUAGAAACGUCAAAAUUCGUUUGUAUUUUUCAGGUAG
Molecule: non-coding RNA, 1092 nt
Organism: Paramuricea clavata
Lineage: Eukaryota; Metazoa; Cnidaria; Anthozoa; Malacalcyonacea; Plexauridae
Source: the annotation of a GenBank genome assembly